This 504-nucleotide long non-coding RNA is filed under the name Amborella trichopoda. RNAcentral's name for it is "long non-coding RNA (ATRI_LNC005321)". The record is from RNAcentral. Lineage: Eukaryota; Viridiplantae; Streptophyta; Magnoliopsida; Amborellales; Amborellaceae.
UAGAAUUUGUGUGUUGCGUUCAUCUAUUUUACAUUUGGCCAACUAUAUACACCAUCGUGGGUGCGAUCCCAGUAUUUAGGAAUUCCUAGUUUUGCAAGAGUUCUUUAGAGCCCCGCAAUCGAUGUCAAAGCACAAAGUGUAUCUUUGGGGCCAAGGAAAAUAUAUGUGGAAGUUGGAUGCAUGGUUUGAUGUGGAGAAAUAUAGAAGUAAAGUGUUUGCAAGAAUUUCAUAGUGAGUUUUAUUCUCAAGAGGGAAGAAAUGAUGAAUUCUAUCCAAUGGAGAUCCGCGAAGAAAAUUUUGUGAUUUUGCUAUCAAAUAGAGAUUUUUAGGUUUUAUGAUAGCCAAAUUCAUCACCCGUGUUUUCCUAGAAAGAUUGCGUUUAUUAUGUUCUUUGGGCAAAAAGAGAGGGGUUUCUUUAGGAGCAAAGAAUAAGCAUUAAUUAUCUCUUAGAAGGGGAUCAAAGAGAUGGAAUACCCAUCCCUUUUGGGGUUACCCUAUUAUGAG